AGAGUUUGAUCCUGGCUCAGAUUGAACGCUGGCGGUAUGCUUAACACAUGCAAGUCGAACGGCAGCAUGGUUUGUAGCAAUACAAACUGAUGGCGAGUGGCGGACGGGUGAGAAACGCGUAGGAAUCUGCCUUAUAGAGGGGGACAACUAGAGGAAACUCUAGCUAAUACCGCAUAAUGUCGCGAGACCAAACGCUGGGUUGAAAGACCUGGUGCUAUAAGAGGAGCCUGCGUCCGAUUAGCUAGUUGGUAGGGUAAAGGCCUACCAAGGCGAUGAUCGGUAGCUGGUCUGAGAGGAUGAUCAGCCACACUGGGACUGAGACACGGCCCAGACUCCUACGGGAGGCAGCAGUGGGGAAUAUUGGACAAUGGGGGCAACCCUGAUCCAGCAAUACCGCGUGUGUGAAGAAGGCCUUCGGGUUGUAAA
RNAcentral lists this ribosomal RNA (426 nucleotides) under uncultured bacterium. RNAcentral describes it as "bacterial SSU rRNA". It matches the Rfam family "Bacterial small subunit ribosomal RNA", at positions 8 to 429 of the family's 1533-position model. The record is from RNAcentral.